UGGGGAAUAUUGCACAAUGGGCGCAAGCCUGAUGCAGCCAUGCCGCGUGUGUGAAGAAGGCCUUCGGGUUGUAAAGCACUUUCAGCGGGGAGGAAGGCGUUAAGGUUAAUAACCUUGGCGAUUGACGUUACCCGCAGAAGAAGCACCGGCUAACUCCGUGCCAGCAGCCGCGGUAAUACGGAGGGUGCAAGCGUUAAUCGGAAUUACUGGGCGUAAAGCGCACGCAGGCGGUUUGUCAAGUCGGAUGUGAAAUCCCCGGGCUCAACCUGGGACUUGCCUUCGAAACUGGCAGGCUAGAGUCUUGUAGAGGGGGGUAGAAUUCCAGGUGUAGCGGUGAAAUGCGUAGAGAUCUGGAUGAAUACCGGUAGCGAAGGCGGCCCCCUGGACAAAGACUGACGCUCAGGUGCGAAAGCGUGGGGAGCAAACAGG
This 429-nucleotide ribosomal RNA is filed under the name Chloroflexota bacterium. Its description in RNAcentral is "Chloroflexi bacterium partial 16S ribosomal RNA". It matches the Rfam family "Bacterial small subunit ribosomal RNA", at positions 355 to 776 of the family's 1533-position model. Lineage: Bacteria; Bacillati; Chloroflexota. The record is from RNAcentral.